This 56-nucleotide transfer RNA is filed under the name Phaleria macrocarpa. RNAcentral describes it as "partial tRNA-Leu". The record is from RNAcentral. Lineage: Eukaryota; Viridiplantae; Streptophyta; Magnoliopsida; Malvales; Thymelaeaceae. RNAcentral also lists the same sequence under 1 other name.
AAAAUCCGUCGACUUUUAAAAUCGUGAGGGUUCAAGUCCCUCUAUCCCCAACCCCA